RNAcentral lists this ribosomal RNA (257 nucleotides) under uncultured bacterium. RNAcentral's name for it is "partial 16S ribosomal RNA". It matches the Rfam family "Bacterial small subunit ribosomal RNA", at positions 524 to 776 of the family's 1533-position model. The record is from RNAcentral.
UACGUAGGCAGCGAGCGUUGUUCGGAGUUACUGGGCGUAAAGGGUGUGUAGGCGGUUCUUUUAAGUUUGGUGUGAAAUCUCCCGGCUCAACCGGGAGGGUGCGCCGAAAACUGGGGGGACUAGAGUGCGGGAUGGGAGAGUAGAAUUCCUGGUGUAGCGGUGAAAUGCGUAGAUAUCAGGAGGAAUACCGGUGGUGUAGACGGCUCUCUGGACCGCCACUGACGCUGAGACACGAAAAGCGUGGGGGAGCAAACAGG